RNAcentral lists this ribosomal RNA (253 nucleotides) under uncultured bacterium. RNAcentral describes it as "partial 16S ribosomal RNA". It matches the Rfam family "Bacterial small subunit ribosomal RNA", at positions 524 to 776 of the family's 1533-position model. The record is from RNAcentral.
UACAGAGGGUGCGAGCGUUAAUCGGAAUUACUGGGCGUAAAGGGUGCGUAGGCGGCUAUAUAAGUGAGAUGUGAAAGCCCCGGGCUUAACCUGGGAAUGGCAUUUGAGACUGUAAGGCUGGAGUGCGGCAGAGGGGGAUGGAAUUCCGCGUGUAGCAGUGAAAUGCGUAGAUAUGCGGAGGAACACCGAUGGCGAAGGCAAUCCCCUGGGCCUGCACUGACGCUCAUGCACGAAAGCGUGGGGAGCAAACAGG